Molecule: ribosomal RNA, 500 nt
Filed under: uncultured bacterium
Lineage: Bacteria
Description: partial 16S ribosomal RNA
Rfam family: Bacterial small subunit ribosomal RNA
Source: RNAcentral
AUUGAACGCUGGCGGCAGGCCUAACACAUGCAAGUCGAGCGGAUGACGGGAGCUUGCUCCUUGAUUCAGCGGCGGACGGGUGAGUAAUGCCUAGGAAUCUGCCUGGUAGUGGGGGACAACGUUUCGAAAGGAACGCUAAUACCGCAUACGUCCUACGAGAGAAAGCAGGGGACCUUCGGGACUUGCGCUAUCAGAUGAGCAUAGGUCGGAUUAGCUAGUAGGUGAGGUAAUGGCUCACCUAGGCGACGAUCCGUAACUGGUCUGAGAGGAUGAUCAGUCACACUGGAACUGAGACACGGUCCAUACUCCUACGGGAGGCAGCAGUGGGGAAUAUUGGACAAUGGGCGAAAGCCUGAUCCAGCCAUGCCGCGUGUGUGAAGAAGGUCUUCGGAUUGUAAAGCACUUUAAGUUGGGAGGAAGGGCAGUAAGUUAAUACCUUGCUGUUUUGACGUUACCGACAGAAUAGGCACCGGCUAACUCUGUGCCAGCCGCCGCCGUAA